This 399-nucleotide ribosomal RNA is filed under the name uncultured bacterium. RNAcentral describes it as "bacterial SSU rRNA". It matches the Rfam family "Bacterial small subunit ribosomal RNA", at positions 356 to 773 of the family's 1533-position model. The record is from RNAcentral.
GGGGAAUAUUGGACAAUGGGCGCAAGCCUGAUCCAGCCAUGCCGCGUGAGUGAUGAAGGCCCUAGGGUUGUAAAGCUCUUCCAGCGAGGAGGAUAAUGACGUUACUCGCAGAAGAAGCCCCGGCUAACUUCGUGCCAGCAGCCGCGGUAAUACGAGGGGGCUAGCGUUGUUCGGAAUCACUGGGCGUAAAGCGCACGUAGGCGGACUUUUAAGUCAGGGGUGAAAUCCCGGGGCUCAACCUCGGAACUGCCUUUGAUACUGGAAGUCUGGAGUCCGAGAGAGGUGAGUGGAACUCCGAGUGUAGAGGUGAAAUUCGUAGAUAUUCGGAAGUACACCAGUGGCGAAGGCGGCUCACUGGCUCGGUACUGACGCUGAGGUGCGAAAGCGUGGGGAGCAAAC